This 468-nucleotide ribosomal RNA is filed under the name uncultured bacterium. RNAcentral describes it as "partial 16S ribosomal RNA". It matches the Rfam family "Bacterial small subunit ribosomal RNA", at positions 28 to 507 of the family's 1533-position model. The record is from RNAcentral.
GACGAACGCUGGCGGCGUGCUUAACACAUGCAAGUCGAACGGAAAGGCCCUGCUUUUGUGGGGUGCUCGAGUGGCGAACGGGUGAGUAACACGUGAGUAACCUGCCCUUGACUUUGGGAUAACUUCAGGAAACUGGGGCUAAUACCGGAUAGGAGCUCCUGCUGCAUGGUGGGGGUUGGAAAGUUUCGGCGGUUGGGGAUGGACUCGCGGCUUAUCAGCUUGUUGGUGGGGUAGUGGCUUACCAAGGCUUUGACGGGUAGCCGGCCUGAGAGGGUGACCGGCCACAUUGGGAUUGGGAUACGGCCCAGACUCCUACGGGAGGGAGCAGUGGGAAGUAUUCCACAAUGGGCGGAAGCCUGAUGCAGCAACGCCGCGUGCGGGAUGACGGCCUUCGGGUUGUAAACCGCUUUCGCCUGUGACGAAGCGUGAGUGACGGUAAUGGGUAAAGAAGCACCGGCUAACUACGUG